GACGAACGCUGGCGGCGUGCUUAACACAUGCAAGUCGAACGGAAAGGCCCAGCUUUCGUGGGGUGUUCGAGUGGAGCAGGGGUGGGAAACAUGUGAGAACCCUGCUUUAGUCUUUGGGAAGACUUCAGGAAAGUGGGGCAUAUUGCAGAUGGCAUCUCCUGCCGCGUGGUGGGGGUUGGAAAGUUUUGGGGGUUGGGGAUGCACUCGCGGCAUAUCAGCUUGUUGGUGGGGUAGUGGCUUACCAAGGCGUUGACGGGUAGCCGGCCUGAGAGGGUGACCGGCCACACUGGGACUGAGAUACGGCCCAGACUCCUACGGGAGGCAGCAGUGGGGAAUAUUGCACAAUGGGCGGAAGCCUGAUGCAGCGACGCCGCGUGCGGGAUGACGGCCUUCGGGUUGUAAACCUCUUUCAGUAGGGACGAAGCGUGAGUGACGGUAACUGCUGAAGAAGCGCCGGCUAACUACGUG
RNAcentral lists this ribosomal RNA (468 nucleotides) under uncultured bacterium. RNAcentral describes it as "partial 16S ribosomal RNA". It matches the Rfam family "Bacterial small subunit ribosomal RNA", at positions 28 to 507 of the family's 1533-position model. The record is from RNAcentral.